AAAAACAGUGUUGAAAUAAAUUGAGAUAAUGGAAUGACAAUAACAAUACAAUAUAAAUGUAUUUAUAGCACCACAAAUGAUGCAACGACAGAGACAGUACAAACAAAAUGAGUAUAUUUUCAGCAUCACAAGUAACGCAGCAGCAACAACGGUACAAGCAUAUUUUCAGCAUUAUAUUAUGACAGAAUCAUAGAAUGGACACACAAUUAAUGUCUGAAUCAGGAUACAACAUUGAAUA
RNAcentral lists this long non-coding RNA (238 nucleotides) under Lathyrus oleraceus (garden pea). RNAcentral describes it as "Pisum sativum (pea) long non-coding RNA (PSAT_LNC030962)". Lineage: Eukaryota; Viridiplantae; Streptophyta; Magnoliopsida; Fabales; Fabaceae. The record is from RNAcentral.